GUCCCCAUCGUCUAGAGGCCUAGGACAACUCCCUUUCACGGAGUAGACACGAGUUCGAAUCUCGUUGGGGACGCCA
This 76-nucleotide transfer RNA is filed under the name bacterium. RNAcentral's name for it is "tRNA-Glu". It matches the Rfam family "tRNA". Rfam says of the family: Transfer RNA (tRNA) molecules are approximately 80 nucleotides in length. Their secondary structure includes four short double-helical elements and three loops (D, anti-codon, and T loops). The record is from RNAcentral.